RNAcentral lists this long non-coding RNA (858 nucleotides) under Equus asinus (donkey). RNAcentral describes it as "lncRNA (ENSEASG00005032312.1)". The record is from RNAcentral. Lineage: Eukaryota; Metazoa; Chordata; Mammalia; Perissodactyla; Equidae.
GCCGAUUGGCCGGCCGCGGUCGUCUCCCGGGGCGGCGCGCGGCCGGCUAUUUUUAGAGGCCUAUAUAAGGGCGCGGCGCGCGCGCGGGGCCCGGCGGCCGCGGCCACACGGGCGCGGACGCACAGGCGCGGCUCCCGGGACGCGGGGCCGGCGCCUCCGACCCUCGCCGCUGCCGGCGGAGACCGGGCGCCCCUCGGAGGGCGGCCGCGGGUCGGGAGGGGAGUCCGGCCGCGGUCAGAUGCCUCCGGGGGGAGGGACGCCGCCCCCGCCCCCCGCCCGGACGCGAGUGCCCAGGGGGCUUCCCUUCCUAAAGAGCAAACCGAAAAGAAAAGCCCCUUCACCAGUGCCCACAGCCUGCCCAGCCGCGGGUCAGGAGCGCCACAGGAGGAAGCGCCGCACGACGGGCGGAACAAAGGCGAGCGGCGCGGGGACAGCGGCCGGGCCCGCCCCGCAGGCGCCCAGGUGCGCACAGGCCCCGCCCCCAGUCCCGCAGGCGCCCAGGUGCGCACAGGCCCCGCCCCCAGUCCCGCGAGCGCACAGGCCCCGCCCCCAGUCCCGCGAGCGCACAGGCCCCGCCCCCAGUCCCGCAGGCGCCCAGGUGCGCACAGGCCCCGCCCCCAGUCCCGCGAGUGCCCAGGUGCGCACAGGACCCGUCCCCGGACCCCGCGAACGCUCGGAGGCACAAGGUCCCGCCCCCAGCCCCGCAACCGCCCAGGUGCACACAGGCCCCUCUGUCGGACCCCGCAAGCGCCCAGGUACAUAGGGCCCAGUCCCUGGCUCCGCGAGCGCCCAGGUGCGCACAGACCCCGCCCCGAUCUGCAAGCGUCCAGCUGCGCGCCACACCGCCACCUGCCCGCC